UACGUAGGGUGCAAGCGUUGUCCGGAAUUAUUGGGCGUAAAGGGCUCGUAGGCGGUCCGUCACGUCGGGAGUGAAAACUUGGGGCUUAACCCCAAGCCUGCUUCCGUUACGGGCGGACUAGAGGUAGGCAGGGGAGAACGGAAUUCCAGGUGUAGCGGUGAAAUGCGUAGAUAUCUGGAGGAACACCGGUGGCGAAGGCGGCAUCCUGGACCGAUAUUGACGCUGAGGCGCGAAAGCCAGGGGAGCAAACGGG
Molecule: ribosomal RNA, 253 nt
Filed under: uncultured bacterium
Lineage: Bacteria
Description: partial 16S ribosomal RNA
Rfam family: Bacterial small subunit ribosomal RNA
Source: RNAcentral